CUGAGCUCCUGAUCCCAAAUCAGAGCCUGAGCUCCUGAUCCCAGAGCAGAGCCUGAGCUCCUGUCCCAGAGCAGAGCCUGAGCUCCUGUCCCAGAGCAGAGCCUGAGCUCCCUUCUGGGAGCUGGCUCACAGCCUCCUGUGAAUUAAGGCCGUUUUGCUAGAAAGAUCCUUAACACUGUCUUCAUCAUGACUGGAUAGUCUUGGCCAUGCCACUGUUCUAGAGCUCCCAGAGAGAAUUUCACAGAAUCAUGGAAUGGGUUGGGUUGGUAGGGACCUUAAAUCCCACCCAGUGCCACCCCUGCCAUGGCAGGGACAUCUCCCACUGUCCCAAUGUCCAGCCUGGCCUUGGGCACUGCCAGGGGUCCAGGGCAGCCACAGCUGCUCUGGGCACCCUGUGCCAGGGCCUGCCCACCCUGCCAGGGAGGGAUUUGUUCUCAAUAUCCGAUCUAAUUUGCUUUCAUUAGUUUAAUUACAAGAACCAAGAGUUGCUCUUGGCCCCAGGUGGUGACUGAGCUGCCCAGCCCUGUCCCUCUCUCCUGUGUGUUGGCAGUUCAAUGUCCUGCAACAGCAACAGUGCCAAGCUACUGUGUGUAAAUAUUGGAGACAUAUAAAUGGUAGAAUUCACUGUUUCCUCAAGUCAAUACAGUUUACACUGAGUGGACCAUAUUUGCAAACUAUUAGCUUCCACCAAGAAAGGGAGUGAACUGUGAUUUCAUUUGUAUUUAUUGAAUCAUAAGUUUAGUAGCAUAUUUAGCAGUUGAUAGUGAUCUAUAGCUGUGUUUUGGGGUGUGGAUCAUGUUCUCUGCAGCUCAUGGUUUUGCACAAGGCAGUAAAUCCAGGAAGUCAUUUCUGCCUGGAUAUACACUACAUUUUUUCAAAGCAGUCAGAGACUAAAACUGCCAUCUAACAAACAGCAGGAAAGAGGAACACUUCUGUUUUUCAAGUUUAGCACUUUAUGUUUGCAGCCCAUUUCUCUUAAGUUACUUAAAAAUGUUUUUAAAAGCAAAAUUUAAUACAUGUGUUCCUAUUUACUGUACAUUAAAAUAAAUGGAUUCUCUGCUGGAAAUUUCAUCUUUUCCUUUAGUAUGCUCAUAAUUUGUACUUUUGGGGAGCGAGGCAUUGUUUUCUUCUUCUGUGUAGUAUCUUGUUUGUGGCCUUAAUGUUCUUCCUAUUCCUUUAUCUGUGUGGGUUAUGUGCUGUAGCAGCUCAUGUGUGACCUGUGGGCUUUGGGGCUGCUCCAGGUGAUGCCCCUGUGUGAUCUCACUGCUCCUGCUGCCCCUGGCUCCAGGGGAUGUUCCUGUGUGGGUCUCACUGUGCUCCUGUGUGAUCUCACUGCUCCUGCUGCCCCUGGCUCCAGGGGAUGAUGUUCCUGUGUGAUCUCACUGCUCCUGCUGCCCCUGGCUCCACAUGAGGAUGUUCCUGUGUGAGUCUCACUGCUCCUGCUGCCCCUGGCUGCCAACAUCCCAUGCCGAGCUGCUGCAGGCUGAGGUUUCGUGGCACACACUGUUCUCUUCCUGCACCUCUGCAGUAAUUCCAGGUGUGUCACAGCCCUCUCCACCCCCUUACUUCUGUGUUUCUCUCCUCCUCAGAGCUUGUGCUGCUCAUCUGUGCCAGCAUUUGUUUAGCCCAGCCCGUGGUGCAGCGGGGACCUGACAUUCUGUGCUCAGCAGCUCCAGCGUGUGCAGGGUGUGCUCAGAGCUGCCUGGGGGUGCUCAGAGCUGCCUGGGGGUGCUCAGAGCUGCCUGGGGGUGCUCAGAGCUGGCUGGGGGCGCUCAGAGCUGGCUGGGGGCGCUCAGAGCUGCCUGGGGGUGCUCAGAGCUGGCUGGGGGUGCUCAGAGCUGCCUGGGGGUGCUCAGAGCUGCCUGGGGGUGCUCAGAGCUGGCUGAGGGUGCUCAGAGCUGCCUGGGGGUGCUCAGAGCUGCCUGGGGGUGCUCAGAGCUGCCUGGGGGUGCUCAGAGCUGCCUGGGGGUGCUCAGAGCUGGCUGGGGGUGCUCAGAGCUGGCUGGGGGUGCUCAGAGCUGCCUGGGGGUGCUCAGAGCUGGCUGGGGGCGCUCAGAGCUGCCUGGGGGUGCUCAGAGCUGCCUGGGGGCGCUCAGAGCUGGCUGAGGGUGCUCAGAGCUGCCUGGGGGUGCUCAGAGCUGCCCGGGGGUGCUCAGGGCAUCCCUGCUGCCCCUCGAGGUGAGCGCUGUGCUGGAGCUGCACCAGGGCUGAUUCCCUGCUCCCCCCUGUGCCAGACCCGGGGCAGCCUCUGGAGCCGAGGGAGGGUGAGCUGGGGCUGAGCUGGGUUUGGCAGGGAGCCCCAGGCCAGAGGGGAAUCCAGCAGCUGCUCCGUGGGCUUUAUGUGCAGGAGAGCUUCAGCUCUGCUCCUCACAGCCCCCGGUGUGCAGUGCCCCAGGGAGGUGAGCCCUGCCACGGGCAGCUCGGUGGGCUUGGGCUCAUCCCCCAGUGCCUGGGCCAGCCCAGUGCCCCCUCACUGGGUGGGCUCUGUGUUUAUUCUUCAUUAUUUCAUGUGUUAAACUCUUUGAUUUGCAUGAAAUCCUGUGGUUCGCAGCUUUGCCAAUAUGGUCCAUUACUACUGCCUACUACAACUUGCGUACUUACAUGCCUUUGAGAACAUUUUUAAUUGUUAAAACAGUUUAAAAAAUCAGUGUUAAUUUUUAAUGGGGAAGUGGAUUCUGGUGUCAAAAUGGUAUUUACUGUGAUGCCGAUGUUUUGUACCUGUCAUCCAGCUGAACAACCUGUAAAUACUCCUGAGUCCAGAGAAAUAUGAAUGCCAAUUAUUUAUUGUUCUGUGGAGUUACAUGUCGCAGAUGUGUAAGAACUUAAAAGGGAAUGUUGUAAAACAAGGUGGAAAAAAUAAAUUUUAUGCAACUUCUUUACUUCA
Molecule: long non-coding RNA, 2884 nt
Organism: Prinia subflava (tawny-flanked prinia)
Lineage: Eukaryota; Metazoa; Chordata; Aves; Passeriformes; Cisticolidae
Exons: 2
Source: RefSeq, a predicted model, not a curated record